Long non-coding RNA from Manacus vitellinus (golden-collared manakin), 1629 nucleotides. RefSeq lists it as uncharacterized. The record is from RefSeq and is a predicted model, not a curated record. The transcript has 7 exons. NCBI's taxonomy places the organism in Eukaryota, Metazoa, Chordata, Aves, Passeriformes, Pipridae.
CCUCGGGAAAAGCCGCUGUGCCCGAGGGCCGUGGAGUGCGCCGGCCUUUCCCUCGGAAUUCAGGUGUCCUUGUGUAAAUUCGCAUUUCAGGUUCCUCUUUCAGCUCGAGCCUCUGUUUACCUUUACUCUGGAACCUUUGCAGAGGUGGAGUCCGCCCCGUGCAGAGGCGUUUCACACUGCAGUUGGAUAGCAGCGGCAGUUUGGAGCUUGGAAAAAUAGGAUGGGUUUUGGUAACGCCUCUCAAGGGUGCUAAGAGUUUUUACUCUGUUUUUGGAAUAUCGUUUGAGAUGAGAAAUUAGGUUCUUUUCAGAGGCACUUCAGUAAUUCAACUAUAUGAUUUCGUUGACUUCAUGGUUGAAAUAGUUACGCAUAUUUUUAAUGUACCAAGAGCUACAAUUAAUCUCUGUUCUGCAGUUAUAAAUACUGCUGAAAUUUUAACUCUUUCAAAAUCAAUGGCAAAGCUCUGUCUUCAGUGGACCAAGGACUCACAGAAUCUGAAAAGGAGGUGAUUGAAAAGGAAAAUGGGAAGUCAGAGGCAGAUUGUACUUAUGCUGAGAAGCGUGGACAGACUCACCCUAUCUAUACACAACAGACAGAAGAUAGAGACUGGGAAAACAGCUGAUUGUGAGGCUAUCUGUCUUUUCAGGCAGAGGGCCCAGAAAGUGAAUUUUGGAAAAGGGAGAGAGAAAGCCCUAAAUUCUGAGAAUCUCUGAAUACAUUUGGCUAGAAGAUGAGUAUGAGAAGCCUGAGAAAUGGACACGGUAGUAUUUCACAGAAAAAUAAGAGCUUUUCUCUCUUCCAGAGCUUGAUGCAAGAAGAACUUUGAAAUAUUUGGUAGAGCCACAUGUGACUGAUCAAAAUAUUCACCCUAAGCACACAAAACAAGAGCGUUAAGAUUUGCUGGAGAUGGGACUCACUUGCAGAAGAACGUGGCUUUAUUAGAACUUUGGAAACCUUAAUCCAAAGGUUACAAAUUUCUACAAUAAAUGAAAAUGGGAUCACCCUUGUUCCAGUUGAUGCAUACUCCUGAUCUGGACCCCACAGCUCAAGCAAGACUGAGGGACAAAUCUUGUCAGGCAACGUGGUAAGAAGCUGGAUCAUCUUUCUUCAUCUGCUCACUGCCUUCACAGAAUUUGAAAGUGUGACGAAGUAUUUCAUCCCUUUACAGGAUUAGGGAUACGGAUUUGCCUGUCAUGGAGGUGCUGCUGGCUGGGUCACUGCCUGGUAGAGGGUGUCUCUUAGACCUGAUGUAACCUGAAGCAUGUGCUUUCUUAGGAGGUCUACAGCUGGGCUGGAGAACUGCAAACACUCAUCCUUUCACUCCUGUCAUCUGCUUCCACAUGACUGCAGUGCCUGUGCUGUGCUCUCAGCUCACUGACCCUAAAACGUUCCUUGCAAUGUUUUGUACUGAGCUGCUGCAGAGCAGACUUUGCUUUUGGUGGCAGUAUCCCUUGUUGCUGCAUCAUUUAUAGAAGAGAUGACUUCAUCCUUGCCUUUAUUCCACUGGGACCAGCUGCUCUACACGCAGGAACAAAAAGUGGCAAAUACCUAUAACCUCUUUCAAUUUCCUGUUGAAGGUCUACAUCACAUGAACUUCUUGGGGUUUUUUGAGAGGUAAAGCUUUUUAAU